RNAcentral lists this ribosomal RNA (376 nucleotides) under uncultured bacterium. Its description in RNAcentral is "partial 16S ribosomal RNA". It matches the Rfam family "Bacterial small subunit ribosomal RNA", at positions 959 to 1332 of the family's 1533-position model. The record is from RNAcentral.
ACGAGAAGAACCUCACCCGGGNUAAAUCCNGUGGGACCGCCCCCGAGANGGGGGUUCCUUUGGGGCGCCCCGGAAGGUGGUGCAUGGCUGUNGUCAGCUCGUGUCGUGAGGAGUUGCGUUAANGCGCAACGAGCGCAACCCCCNUGGUUAGUUNCCAGCACGUCAUGGUGGGGACUUUAGGCAGACUGCCUGCGCAAAUACUGAGGAAGGUGGGGAAGACGUCAAGUCAUCAUGGCCCUUUUGUCCGGGGGUGCCCCCGUGCUNCAAUGGGCGGUACAAGGGGCAGCCACCCCGGGAGCGGGAGCAAAUUCCCAAAACCCUUUCCAGUUUGGGAUGGAGUUUGCAACUUGANUCCCGAAAGUNGAAUUUNGNUAUC